CCUUUUUCUGAAACAAUAGCAUUACACCACAACAUAGAAAAACACACAUUAAAAUAUCAAUUGGCAGGCUUAACUCAAUCAAAAAACGUACAUUAAUAUACUAUAAACGAAUAAAUUCGAUCUGCGAUAUCUGAAUGCAAAUGCACAGUUAAUAAAAUAUUAGGGACAAACAUUCAAGGCCAAAAAGCAAACAAACAAGUCCAAACAAAGCCAUGGCAAGUCACCAC
RNAcentral lists this long non-coding RNA (227 nucleotides) under Mytilus galloprovincialis (Mediterranean mussel). The record is from RNAcentral. Lineage: Eukaryota; Metazoa; Mollusca; Bivalvia; Mytilida; Mytilidae.